RNAcentral lists this microRNA precursor (103 nucleotides) under Marmota monax (woodchuck). The record is from RNAcentral. Lineage: Eukaryota; Metazoa; Chordata; Mammalia; Rodentia; Sciuridae.
AGAGGGGUAGCUGGGUCAAAUGGUGAUUCCAUUCCCAAUUUUCCAAGAAACCUUCAUACUGCUUUUCAUAUUGGCUGCACCAAUUUGCAGUCCCACCAGCAGU